Molecule: unclassified non-coding RNA, 86 nt
Filed under: Pseudomonas azotoformans
Lineage: Bacteria; Pseudomonadati; Pseudomonadota; Gammaproteobacteria; Pseudomonadales; Pseudomonadaceae
Source: RNAcentral
GUGGGAGGGGGCUUGCCCCCGAUAGCAGGUUGUCAGGCGCUUAUGUGUUACUGAUCCACCGCUAUCGGGGGCAAGCCCCCUCCCAC